UUUGGUAUCAAAACACCAUGAUCUUUUUUAUAGAGUCUAUAUAUCAUGACCAAAAAAUCCUUAUAAUUAUGAUUUGGUAAAUUUGAACUGCAAGCAAUUUCAUGACUUUAGGGUCAUUCCACUUCACCAUGAAUUUCAUUGACUAUAAUCCUUAUAUAGUUUCAAUUUGUUUUUAUAAUCUUAAAUCUUGAGUCUAUUAUGUCAAACAUUUAAACAGGAGGAUGCUUUAGAAGAGUUUUCCCUUAUUUUUUAAAACAAGACUAUUUAAUUGGUUUAUAAUGUCUGAUCUUCUCUUGUGAUAUCGGUUGUGGUCUCUAGGGCUUCAAUUUUGUAUUGGGGCAUGACACAUCCAUUCAGUCCAUCAUCGAAGUGCUUCGAUCUCAAAGCCCCCACUCUCAAUC
RNAcentral lists this long non-coding RNA (401 nucleotides) under Phoenix dactylifera (date palm). RNAcentral describes it as "long non-coding RNA (PDAC_LNC016126)". The record is from RNAcentral. Lineage: Eukaryota; Viridiplantae; Streptophyta; Magnoliopsida; Arecales; Arecaceae.